GGUCGAGUAGUUCAAAUGGUUAGAACGGGCGCUUUGUAAGCGUUUGACGAUAGUUCAAAUCUAUCCUUGACUUCCA
RNAcentral lists this transfer RNA (76 nucleotides) under Caudoviricetes sp. RNAcentral's name for it is "tRNA-Thr". It matches the Rfam family "tRNA". Rfam says of the family: Transfer RNA (tRNA) molecules are approximately 80 nucleotides in length. Their secondary structure includes four short double-helical elements and three loops (D, anti-codon, and T loops). Further hydrogen bonds mediate the characteristic L-shaped molecular structure. tRNAs have two regions of fundamental functional importance: the anti-codon, which is responsible for specific mRNA codon recognition, and the 3' end, to which the tRNAs corresponding amino acid is attached (by aminoacyl-tRNA synthetases). tRNAs cope with the degeneracy of the genetic code in two manners: having more than one tRNA (with a specific anti-codon) for a particular amino acid; and 'wobble' base-pairing, i.e. permitting non-standard base-pairing at the 3rd anti-codon position. Lineage: Duplodnaviria; Heunggongvirae; Uroviricota; Caudoviricetes. The record is from RNAcentral.